This 569-nucleotide ribosomal RNA is filed under the name uncultured bacterium. Its description in RNAcentral is "partial 16S ribosomal RNA". It matches the Rfam family "Bacterial small subunit ribosomal RNA", at positions 355 to 1376 of the family's 1533-position model. The record is from RNAcentral.
UGGGGAAUAUUGCACAAUGGGCGAAAGCCUGAUGCAGCAACGCCGCGUGCGGGAUGACGGCCUUCGGGUUGUAAACCGCUUUCAGCNGGGACGAAGGUUUUCUGACGGUACCUGCAGAAGAAGCACCGGCUAACUACGUGCCAGCAGCCGCGGUGAUACGUAGGGUGCGAGCGUUGUCCGGAAUUAUUGGGCGUAAAGAGCUUGUAGGCGGUCCGUUGCGUCGGAAGUGAAAACUCAGGGCUUAACCCUGAGCCUGCUUUCGAUACGGGCGGACUUGAGGGAUGUAGGGAGAACGGAAUUCCUGGUGGAGCGGUGGAAUGCGCAGAUAUCAGGAGGAACACCAGUGGCGAAGGCGGUUCUCUGGACAUUUCCUGACGCUGAGAAGCGAAAGCGUGGGGAGCAAACAGGCUUAGAUACCCUGGUAGUCCACGCCGUAAACGGUGGGCACUAGGUGUGGGACCCAUUCCACGGGUUCCGUGCCGUAGCUAACGCAUUAAGUGCCCCGCCUGGGGAGUACGGCCGCAAGGCUAAAACCUCAAAGGAAUUGACGGGGUCAUAGCUGUUUCCUG